GGGGUUCUAGCUCAUCGGUAGAGCGCUCCCUUAGCACUGCGAUUUGAUGCAAACUGCGUGGGAGAAGUAAUGGGUUCGACUCCUAUGUACUCCA
Tulasnella sp. 332 is the source of this 94-nucleotide non-coding RNA. The record is from the annotation of a GenBank genome assembly. NCBI's taxonomy places the organism in Eukaryota, Fungi, Basidiomycota, Agaricomycetes, Cantharellales, Tulasnellaceae.